This 472-nucleotide ribosomal RNA is filed under the name uncultured bacterium. Its description in RNAcentral is "bacterial SSU rRNA". It matches the Rfam family "Bacterial small subunit ribosomal RNA", at positions 329 to 793 of the family's 1533-position model. The record is from RNAcentral.
GCAGAGCAUCCUACGGGAGGCAGCAGUGGGGAAUAUUGCACAAUGGGCGCAAGCCUGAUGCAGCCAUGCCGCGUGUAUGAAGAAGGCCUUCGGGUUGUAAAGUACUUUCAGCAGUGAGGAAGGUGGGUAUGUUAAUAGCAUAUUCAUUUGACGUUAGCUGCAGAAGAAGCACCGGCUAACUCCGUGCCAGCAGCCGCGGUAAUACGGAGGGUGCGAGCGUUAAUCGGAAUUACUGGGCGUAAAAGCGCAUGCAGGUGGUUUGUUAAGUCAGAUGUGAAAGCCCGGGGCUCAACCUCGGAAUUGCAUUUGAAACUGGCAAACUAGAGUACUGUAGAGGGGGUAGAAUUUCAGGUGUAGCGGUGAAAUGCGUAGAGAUCUGAAGGAAUACCGGUGGCGAAGGCGGCCCCCUGGACAGAUACUGACACUCAGAUGCGAAAGCGUGGGGAGCAAACAGGAUUAGAUACCCUGGUAG